AGCAUAUCAAUAAGCGGAGGAAAAGAAACUAACAAGGAUUCCCCUAGUAACGGCGAGUGAAGCGGGAAGAGCUCAAAUUUGUAAUCUGGCCCUUUCAGGGUCCGAGUUGUAAUCUCGAGAAGUGUUUUCCGCGCCGGACCGCAUACAAGUCUGUUGGAAUACAGCGUCAUAGUGGUGAGAGCCCCGUAAUUGAUGUGGAUGCCCGGUGCUUUGUGAUACACUUUCGAAGAGUCGAGUUGUUUGGGAAUGCAGCUCAAAUUGGGUGGUAAAUUCCAUCUAAAGCUAAAUAUUGGCGAGAGACCGAUAGCGAACAAGUACCGUGAGGGAAAGAUGAAAAGCACUUUGGAAAGAGAGUUAACAGUACGUGAAAUUGUUGGAAGGGAAACGCUUGAAGUCAGACUUGCUAUUCGGAAUUCAGCCGCAAGGUGUACUUUUCGAUUUGCAGGCCAGCAUCAGUUUUUGGGGGUGGAAAAGGGUGGAGAGAAGGUAGCAACCUUGGUUGUGUUAUAGCUCUUUACUGGAUUCAUCUUUGGGGACUGAGGAUCGCAGUGCGCAAUUUACUUUGCAAACCUUUCGAGGUUUUCGUACUUAGGAUGCUGGUGGAAUGGCUUUAAACGACCCGUCUUGAAACACGGACCAAGGAGUCUAACAUGCUUGCGAGUGUUUGGGUGUCAAACCCGAACGCGCAAUGAAAGUGAAUGGAGGUGGGAUCCGCAAGGUGCACCAUCGACCGAUCUGGAUUUUCUAAGAUGGAUUUGAGUAAGAGCAAUUAUGUUGGGACCCGAAAGAUGGUGAACUAUGCCUGAAUAGGGCGAAGCCAGAGGAAACUCUGGUGGAGGCUCGUAGCGGUUCUGACGUGCAAAUCGAUCGUCAAAUUUGGGUAUAGGGGCGAAAGACUAAUCGAACCAUCUAGUAGCUGGUUCCUGCCGAAGUU
RNAcentral lists this ribosomal RNA (934 nucleotides) under Glaciozyma watsonii. RNAcentral's name for it is "LSU rRNA". It matches the Rfam family "Eukaryotic large subunit ribosomal RNA", at positions 37 to 968 of the family's 3401-position model. Lineage: Eukaryota; Fungi; Basidiomycota; Microbotryomycetes; Kriegeriales; Camptobasidiaceae. The record is from RNAcentral.